GAAGUGCGAUAAGUGUCAUGACUUGCAGAUUCCCGAGAGCUGACAAAUUUCUGAAUGCAAAUGGCGGCUGCCAAACAGCCAUGUAUCGCAGAGUGUAGUUGUUCAUACUCUUCAUCCCCCUCACACAUACACAACAUAUGUCAUCGUUGUGUGUGAGGGCGUUGGGAUCUGCGCUUGCGAAACACACACGCGAGCGUGAAAAACGGGGAGUCUUCCCAUUGUGCACACAAUGGGGAGGCAACUUCGGGCAGAUGUUUGUGAUGAUGUCUCUAGAAGUUGAAGCACCCCGAUGUAGCACACAACUACUCUCUCUCUCAGCCACCUCUGCGAUGCAGGAGAACCCGCUGAACUUAA
This 354-nucleotide unclassified non-coding RNA is filed under the name uncultured fungus. Its description in RNAcentral is "sequence contains ITS1". The stretch from base 1 to 98 matches the Rfam family "5.8S ribosomal RNA", at positions 50 to 154 of the family's 154-position model. Lineage: Eukaryota; Fungi. The record is from RNAcentral.